AAAGGCGUAAUGAAAGUGAAGGUUCGCCUAGCGCGAACCGAGGGAGGAUGGACGGUCCAUUGCGGCCGUCCCGCACUCCCUGGGCGUCUCGUUCUCAUCGCGAGAAGAGGCGCACCAAGAGCGUACACGCUGGGACCCGAAAGAUGGUGAACUAUGCCUGGUCAGGACGAAGUCAGGGGAAACCCUGAUGGAGGUCCGUAGCGAUUCUGACGUGCAAAUCGAUCGUCGGAACUGGGUAUAGGGGCGAAAGACUAAUCGAACCAUCUAGUAGCUGGUUCCCUCCGAAGUUUCCCUCAGGAUAGCUGGCGCUCGCUUCUCGCGAGUCUCAUUCGGUAAAGCGAAUGAUUAGAGGCAUUGGGGUCGAAACGGCCUCAACCUAUUCUCAAACUUUAAAUGGGUGAGAUCUCCGGCUUGCUUGAACUGUGAAGCCGCGAGAUAUCGGAUCAGAGUGCCAAGUGGGCCACUUUUGGUAAGCAGAACUGGCGCUGUGGGAUGAACCAAACGCCGAGUUAAAGCGCCUAAAUCGACGCUUAUGGGA
Molecule: ribosomal RNA, 538 nt
Filed under: Anomala chamaeleon
Lineage: Eukaryota; Metazoa; Arthropoda; Insecta; Coleoptera; Scarabaeidae
Description: eukaryotic LSU rRNA
Rfam family: Eukaryotic large subunit ribosomal RNA
Source: RNAcentral